This 253-nucleotide ribosomal RNA is filed under the name uncultured bacterium. Its description in RNAcentral is "partial 16S ribosomal RNA". It matches the Rfam family "Bacterial small subunit ribosomal RNA", at positions 524 to 776 of the family's 1533-position model. The record is from RNAcentral.
UACAGAGGUCUCAAGCGUUGUUCGGAUUCAUUGGGCGUAAAGGGUGCGUAGGUGGCGCCGUAAGUCAGGUGUGAAAUUUCGGAGCUUAACUUCGAAACUGCAUUUGAUACUGCGGUGCUUGAGGACUGGAGAGGAGACUGGAAUUUACGGUGUAGCAGUGAAAUGCGUAGAUAUCGUAAGGAAGACCAGUGGCGAAGGCGGGUCUCUGGACAGUUCCUGACACUGAGGCACGAAGGCCAGGGGAGCAAAUGGG